UUCGUAGGGUGCAGGCGUUAAUCGGAAUUACUGGGCGUAAAGCGUGCGCAGGCGGUCUUUUAAGUCAGAUGUGAAAUCCCCGGGCUUAACCUGGGAACUGCGUUUGAAACUGAAAGGCUAGAGUGUGGCAGAGGGGGGUGGAAUUCCACGUGUAGCAGUGAAAUGCGUAGAGAUGUGGAGGAACACCGAUGGCGAAGGCAGCCCCCUGGGCUAACACUGACGCUCAUGCACGAAAGCGUGGGGAGCAAACAGG
Molecule: ribosomal RNA, 253 nt
Filed under: uncultured bacterium
Lineage: Bacteria
Description: partial 16S ribosomal RNA
Rfam family: Bacterial small subunit ribosomal RNA
Source: RNAcentral